CACGUAGGCACCAAGCGUUGUCCGGAUUUAUUGGGCGUAAAGAGCUCGUAGGCGGUUCAGUAAGUCGGGUGUGAAAACUCUGGGCUCAACCCAGAGACGCCACCCGAUACUGCUGUGACUUGAGUACGGUAGGGGAGUGGGGAAUUCCUGGUGUAGCGGUGAAAUGCGCAGAUAUCAGGAGGAACACCAGUGGCGAAGGCGCCACUGUGGGCCGUAACUGACGCUGAGGAGCGAAAGCGUGGGUAGCAAACAGG
This 254-nucleotide ribosomal RNA is filed under the name uncultured bacterium. Its description in RNAcentral is "partial 16S ribosomal RNA". It matches the Rfam family "Bacterial small subunit ribosomal RNA", at positions 524 to 776 of the family's 1533-position model. The record is from RNAcentral.